CCUACGGGAGGCAGCAGUGGGGAAUAUUGAGCAAUGGACGCAAGUCUGACCCAGCAACGCCGCGUGAAGGAAGAAGGCUUUCGGGUUGUAAACUUCUUUUAAGGGGGAAGAGCAGAAGACGGUACCCCUUGAAUAAGCCACGGCUAACUACGUGCCAGCAGCCGCGGUAAUACGUAGGUGGCAAGCGUUGUCCGGAUUUACUGGGUGGAAAGGGCGUGCAGCCGGAGAGACAAGUCAGAUGUGAAAUCCACGGGCUCAACCCGUGAACUGCAUUUGAAACUGUUUCCCUUGAGUGUCGGAGAGGUAAUCGGAAUUCCUUGUGUAGCGGUGAAAUGCGUAGAUAUAAGGAAGAACACCAGUGGCGAAGGCGGAUUACUGGACGAUAACUGACGGUGAGGCGCGAAAGCGUGGGGAGCAAACAGGAUUAGAUACCCUUGUAGUC
This 442-nucleotide ribosomal RNA is filed under the name uncultured bacterium. Its description in RNAcentral is "partial 16S ribosomal RNA". It matches the Rfam family "Bacterial small subunit ribosomal RNA", at positions 338 to 795 of the family's 1533-position model. The record is from RNAcentral.